Molecule: ribosomal RNA, 497 nt
Filed under: uncultured bacterium
Lineage: Bacteria
Description: partial 16S ribosomal RNA
Rfam family: Bacterial small subunit ribosomal RNA
Source: RNAcentral
GAUGAACGCUGGCGGCGUGCCUAAUACAUGCAAGUCGAGCGAACAUACGAGGAGCUUUCUCGUCUGACGAUAGGGGCGGACGAGUGAGUACCACAUUGUUAACCUACCGAUAAGACUUGGAUAACUUCCGGAAACCGGUGCUAAUAACGCAGAAUAUACUGAACCCCUUGCUUUAAUGGUGAAAGACGGUUUUGCUGUCACUUGUAGAUGGAUCCGCGCCGCAUCAACUGGUUGGUAAGGUAACGGCUUACCAAGGCAACGAUGUCUAGCCGACCUGAGAGGAUGAUCGGCUACACCAGAAAUGAGACGAGGUCGAGACUACUACGGAAGGCAGCAGAAGGGAAUGUUAAGCAAUAGGCGAAGGCGUGACGGAGCAACGCCGCGGGAGUGAAGAAGGUCCACGGAUCGUAAGACGCCGUUAUUAGCAGAGAACAAUGGUGUGAUUAUAUGUGCACGUAUUGACGGUACCUGGAAAGAAAGCCACGGCUAACUACGUG